RNAcentral lists this ribosomal RNA (318 nucleotides) under uncultured eukaryote. RNAcentral describes it as "partial 18S ribosomal RNA". It matches the Rfam family "Eukaryotic small subunit ribosomal RNA", at positions 1470 to 1796 of the family's 1831-position model. The record is from RNAcentral.
CCCUUAGAUGUUCUGGGCUGCACACGUGCUACACUGGCAGGUUCAGCGAGCUUCAUGCCCUGAUCUGAAAGGAAUGGGAAAUCUUUUCAAAACCUGCCGUGCUUGGGAUAGAUGUUUGCAAUUAUUCAUUUUCAACGAGGAUUGCCUUGUAAGCGCAUGUCAUCAGCAUGCAUUGAAUACGACCCUGUAUUCUGUACACACCGCCCGUCGCUCCUACCGAUUGAGUGAACCGAUGAGUAGUCCGGAUUGCGAUCGACCUCGGUUAAUCGCGAGAAGUUCCGCAAAUCACUUCACUUAGAGGAAGGAGAAGUCGUAACA